This 468-nucleotide ribosomal RNA is filed under the name uncultured bacterium. Its description in RNAcentral is "partial 16S ribosomal RNA". It matches the Rfam family "Bacterial small subunit ribosomal RNA", at positions 28 to 507 of the family's 1533-position model. The record is from RNAcentral.
GACGAACGCUGGCGGCGUGCUUAACACAUGCAAGUCGAACGGAAAGGCCCUGCUUUUGUGGGGUGCUCGAGUGGCGAACGGAUGAGUAACACGUGAGUAACCUGCCCUUGACUUUGGGAUAACUUCAGGACACUGGGGCUAAUACCGGAUAGGAGCUUCUGCUGCAUGGUGGGGGUUGGAAAGUUUCGGCGGUUGGAGAUGGACUCGCGGCGUAUCAGCUUGUUGGUGGGGUAGUGGCUUACCAAGGCUUUGACGGGUAGCCGGCCUGAGAGGGUGACCGGCCACAUUGGGACUGAGAUGCGGCCCAGACGCCUACGGGAGGCAGCAGUGGGGAAUAUUGCACAAUGGGCGGAAGCCUGAUGCAGCAACGCCGCGUGCGGGAUGACGGCCUUCGGGUUGUAAACCGCUUUCGCCUGUGACGAAGCGUGAGUGACGGUAAUGGGUAAAGAAGCACCGGCUAACUACGUG